GUUCCUUGUCCAUGCCAGGAGUUCUGAGAACACCAACUAAUUAGACUAAACUUUCUGCCUGGAAAUGUAGUCAUGGGGUAUCUGAGGAUAGGGAGCAGUGCAAACAGGACUGUUACUUCUUUUGAAGCAACUGGCAGCUACAACUCAGCAACAUUCAAAGAGAAACUGGGGAAGAAAAAACCAGCCUCAGCACUUCUACUGUCACCACAAGGUCGGCUGUGAGGAUUUUGUACCACAGAAGUACAUGAAGGUGGGCUACUAAGCAUGGAUCAGGGAAGAGCUGCUUUAGUAGAGGAAGCACUCACACUAAUUGAAUCAUUGAAGCCUUAAAUAUAGAGACAUCAUUUGGGGUGCUUGCCCCUUGCAUCCAACUGUUGUACCAAAAAAAAAAAAAAAAAAAAGUUGCAAAUGUAAAGACUUGGCGUCCCUCAGUGAAGGGGCCAUUAUUGGUGUCCCAGUACUUCCUGUUUCCUGUCUCCAUUGUGUGUGCCCACAAUGCCUUUUCUUACAAUGUUCUGGCAGCUCCACAUGACCCAGGAACUGAGCCAAGGUGAUUCAGGUUCUGUCUGAGUUCUGGGAAGCCAUUCAAGUUUGUUCUGCAAUUCUCCAGGCCAGUUCAAACCCGGUCGUGCUUUAGAAACCCUGUUGUUGUGAGAUGAAUUGAUUAAGAGAUCCAUCUCUGGGCAAGUUUCUUCAUUCCAAGCCUGUGUGUCCAUCCUCUGACUGACAGAAAGCAAAGAUAACCUGUUCACCAUUCUCUCUUCCCCAAGCUGCCUGGAGACCUCCCUUCAUCCACUCCAAAAGAAGCAAACAUAAAACUCAGAUGUCUGCCGACAUACACAAUCUCCAGGUUCCAGACUUGAUUUUUUUUUUGUUUAUUUAUUUUUAAUCUUCCAUGAUAAAGGCAAAUUACAUACUUUCCUUUACAAUCCAAGCAAUCUAAAGAGAACUUUUAGGGGAUACUGUUGGAGAAGAACAUUUUCUUGGCCAGUGCUUCCAUCAACCUUUAAAAUAUUAAGAAGAAAAUGUCCACCCCAUCACUAACUCAAGUCUUCCUAAAGAGCUUCCAUUUCUGGCUUUGACGUCUUUAUAUAGGCUGUGCUUCAAACUCAAUAUGUAUUCCCUCUACAUCUCCACUUUUCAAGAUCCCUAAGUUCCUUCAACAUUGAUAUCAGGUGGUACUUACUGCAUGAUGCCUUCCCUGACUUCUAGAGGUGUUGGAAGAUGGCUAAGAGAAAGUUUCCUAUAGAAAGUGGGAUUUUUAGUUGGGACUUAAGGAAACCAAAGAAGUCAUUGGGUGGAGUGGAGGUCGAACUGUUGGAAGCUAGGUGACACAGUAGAUAGAAUCCUGGGUCUCAAGUCAAGAAGAUCUGAGUUCAAAUCCUGCCUCGGAUGCUAAUAAGCUGGGUGAUCCCUUAGCAAAUCAUUUAAUCUGUUAGUUUCUUCUUCUGUAAAAUGGACAUAAAAUAUUACCUACUUUUUAGAGUUGUAAGGAUAAUUGUAAAAUGCUUAGCAUGGUUAACUAUUAUUACCCCAUAAAAAAUUACCUUUUAAUUUUAUUCUAUAUAUUUGAAUAUAGUUAUUUUGUGUCUUUCUUCUAAAAAAUGUAAGGUGGUUCAAGAGAAGGGUUGUUUUUCUUAUUUCUUUGCAUCCCUGGCCCACAGCAUACAGCUAAGCACAGAGUAAGCACAAAAUAAAUUCUUGUUGACUGAUCAUAAGGUAUUAUUCCAGGAAUUGAGGAUAUAAAAUCAAAACAAAAAACAGUUCCUAGCCUCAAGGAAUUUAUACAACAAAUGUUUGCUGAGUAACUCCAAAGAGCCAGACAAGAUGAUGGAAAUAAUGAAGUCUGAAAUAUAUCUCUGACUAUAAAGAUAAUCUAAACUACUUGAGGAGAUUAGACUUAAACAUCAUCAUCAUCCUCAGACAUGAUAAUUCAAAGCUAGUAUCUAUGGAAGACUUCAAGCAAAAGCCGGAUAAUUAUUUGUCAGGGAUAUAGAAAAAGAGAUUCCCUGCUCAAAUAUCAAUCAGAUUAGGAGAAGAUAAAUGGUAUAAUGGAUAGAGUGCUAGUCCAGAAAUUGAAAGAACCUGAAUUCAAAUUUGGCCUAAGACAUUUACUAGCUGUGUGAUACAAGGCAAGUCACUUAGUUUGCCUCAGUUUCCUCAUCUGUAAAAUGAGCUGGAAAUAGCAAACUUCUCCAGUAUCUUUGCCAAGAAAAUCCAAAAAAUAGAAUCCUGGAGAAUCAGGCAGGACUGAAAUGAACUCAACAACUAUACACAAAAAAAAUAGGUCAGAUUAGGUAACUUUGGUGUUCCAUCCCAUCCCCCAAAUUCCCCUAAUCUUUGUAAACAAGUCUAAUCCUCCUCCUAUAUGACAAGACUCCAAGAAUCUGAAAACUAACUUAUAAUUAAGUCACAUAUGAAUGGAAUGUUAAGUCUAUCCUUUUCCAAGAUAAACACCCUCAGUUCCUAUAAUUAAUUCUUAUAUGGAAUGAUUUGGAGAUUCCUUUCCACCUUAGCUAUCCUCUUCUGGGACACACUUCUGAUCACAAAUAUUCAAAAUAAAUAUGACAUACAUAGCUAAACUCAAUGCUCCAAAUGAGUGUUGAGUAAAAUAGGACUAUCACCUGCUUCAUACUAUAAUUGUAUUGAUAUUAGCAAUAACUAGCAUAUUAAAUCACUUGAAAUUUGUAAAAAAAAAAAAUUGACCUUCAAAACAAUCCUGGGAGGUAAGUACUAUUACUAUAGCAUUCACUUUACAAAAGCAUCUAAAAGCAUCUAGCAAAUAUAUGAGGUCAGAUUUGAAAUCUUUCUGAUUUCAGGUCCAGCAUUCUAUCUAUCCAUUAAUAUGGUCUAAGACUGAAUUAAUCAUUGCUGAUUCAUAUACAGCUCAUUGUCAACAGGUCAUCAUUUCACCAGAACUGCUCUCUCUAAAAUUAUUAGUUGCCAAAUCCAAAACUCAAAUUUUCCUUUGACAUCUCUGCAGCCUUUGAAGAUGUUGAUCACUCUUUCUCCUUGGUACUCUCUUUUUUUUUUAAGGAUCUUCAUAGCACUGGGAAAAAAGGAGGAGGAGACCAAGAUAUAGCAGUGAGUUUCAUUGAAAGCCUGUAUUAUGUCUUUGGUUUACUAGAAUAGCCAGUCCAAACAAGUUUAAUCCAGUUCAACGUGAUCUGAUCUGGUCCAAACUGGUUCAAGCCUAUCCAAACCAGCUCGAUCUGCUUCAAACUAUUUCAAUUCAUAAACUUACUCAAUUUGAUCAGAUCAGUUUAACCCAAUUCAAUCCAGAAGGAGGAGCAGGAUUUAUGAAAACGAAAAUUGUUUUAUUUUUGAAAUGCUAUCUAGACAGAGAUAUCCAGUGGGUAACUGGAGAUCUAUUGUUCAGAGGACAGACCAGGCUCUCUUUUUUCUGAAUUUUCUGAAUAGCCAUGAUAGCUACAGCUUGAUUAUAAAUAAGGUAGGCUGACAGAAGAAAUAGUAUACAGAGAGACCAUUAGAGGAACAAAGACAAAACCUUGGGUUCAAAAACAAAAGACAAGGAGUUUGAAAAGAAAACAAAGGAAAGUGUCUAAAAACUGAUAUAAAGGGAGAAGUGCAAAAAGAAGACUGGAAAAGGCUUUUGAUUUCAUUAUUAAGUAAUUGGUUGGGGUAGCUAGAUGGUGAAGUGCAUAGAGUACCAGCUGGUUUAAUGUUUUUCCUCUAAAUCUCCAGAGCUAGCAUAUGUUCUAAAAGAGAAGACAGUUAAAAGUACUUUAAGAUUGUUUUUAGGAGCAGUUAGGUGGUGUACUGGAUAGAGCACCAGCCCUGAAGUCAGAAAGACCUGAGUUCAAAUAUGAUCUCAGACACUUAACACUUUCUAGUUGCGAGACCCUGGGCAAGUCACUUAACCCCAAUUGCCUCAGGAAAAAAUAAAUAAUUGGUCAUUUGUGCCAGUGAAAUUUCCCUAGAGGGAUGAGGGUGAAUGCCAGAUUAUAAGAAUCUGAGAAAUAAGUAAGUAGUAAGGAAACAGAGUCAUCAGAUAUAAAAACUUUUUCCAAUGGUAUAGUAAUGGAGAUGAGAGAGAUGAGACUAUAGCUGGCUGAGAUGCAAAGGUCAAGGGAAAGCUUUCUUAUUUCUUAAGGACUGAGGCAUCACUAACCAUCUGUGUGACUGCUGAUAAGCCAUUUAAUCUUUCUGAGCCUGUUUCCUCAUCUCAAAAUGAAAAGGUGGGACUCAAUCUCAAAACAGUUUGGUAGAGUAGGAAAACACUGGCUCUAGAAUCAAAGGACCUAGUUUCAUAUCUUGUGCCUCAGUUUAUUCAUCUGGAAUAUGAAAGGUUUUAUUGGAUGUUGUCUGAACUCUUUUUUCAGUUCUAGAUCAUAAUCCCUGUGACACAAUUAACUAAAAUCGUCAAACUACCAAUAUCCCUUCCAUCAUACUCCCAGAAAACUAGCUAAGUCCUUUAGAAUUCCAUUGGGUAAAAAAAUAAUAAUAAUAAAAAUCACAGGUACUUCCUUCUCUGAAUUAAAUCUCAAAAUCAUUGAAUGUCAUUACUAAAAGGAACGGUAAGAGACAUCAAAGUUCGUUGUUCCACUAGGCUUCCUAUUGCUCCUGAACAAAUUCUGCCCCCAGGUCUGGCAUCCAAGGACCUCCAUAAACUGCUUAGAUCCUAAACUGCCCAGCUUUAAUUGUUACUACUACCCUUAAUAUAUUCCCUUCCAUUUUAACUGGAUUCUUCUUCAUGCUAUAUUCAUCCAACUUUUUCAUAUAACCAUGGCUUUUUUCACAUUGCCCCCAGUCCAAUACCUGGAGUUUAAUUUUCCCCCAUUUCCAUUUGUUGAAGUCCCUCCUUUUAAGUUCCUUAAACUUGAAGUCCAAGUUUAACUUGGGUCCCACCUAUUUAAUGAAGUCUUCCCUGGUUGCUCUAAAUUAAAAUGAUGUCUCUCUUCAAAUUCCUUCCAGAACUUUCUCCUCUCUCCCCCCCCCCCCAGGCAAUUAGGGUUAAGUGAUUUGCCCAGAGUCACACAGCUAGGAAGUGUUAAGUGUCUGAGGUCAAAUUUGAACUCAGGUUUUCCUGAUUUCAGGGCUGGUGCUCAAUCCACUACACCAACCAGCUACCCCCUUCCCAGUACCUUUAUGGAACAACACGGCAAUUUUUAUAUUUGUCUCCAUCCUCCCUAUCACUACCACCAUCACUUCCAUCUUAUAAACUCCUUAAAAAAUGGGGGGAAUGUGAAUAUUUAAAGGAAGGUAGAUGGAAGGGUACAAGAAGGAGAUCUGGAGUCAGAAAGCCCUUAAUUAAAAUCUAGCUUCAGACAUAUAUCUCUUUGCUGCCUGUUUCUUCAUCCAUAAAAUGUAGAUAAUAAUAGCACCUGUCUCCCACAUUUGUUAUGAAGAUCAAAUGAUGUAAUAUUUAUAAAGCAUUUAGCAAAACUUAAAGCCCUAUGUAAAUGCUAGCCAUUAUAUGAGCAAUAUCCCUAAGCUGUAUCAUUGCACUCAUUUAUCAAAACACUUAAAUAUUUGUCGACUUUAACUCAUUUUAGAAGAGACAAGCAAAGCAUACAGUGGGAAAAUGGUUUCCUUAAGGUCAUCCACUGAGUUUGUCACAGUUGUAUGAUAGCAACUUAAUGACAAAAAGAAGGGGAAAACACCCACAUAUUUCAAGAACUAUCAUGGCAUUAGAAUUAGAAGGAACAAUAAGGAUUAUUUAGGGUAAUUCACUUCAUUUUAAGAUGAGGAAAUUGUCCUAGACAUGAGAAAGGACUGGUUUAAGGGCAUGAAGCUCAUUAUUAGCAUAGCCACAAUUCAAAUACUGAUUGCUUAGCUCAAAAUCAAUGCCAAAAAUAUAAGUCAUAGGAGAGAGAGAAACAAGCUUUCAAGGAAAGAAUGAAAGAGAAAUAAAAAGCCAUAUAGGCUUCCCCAGAACCUCCAGAAUCAUCCUCUAGACUCUUGUACUUUUUAUGUGCAACUUUAUUCAUAAUGAACUCAUUUACAUUAAUCAAGUGUUUAUUGGAUGAUAUCAAGAAAUCCAUUGGCAUUCCCUCACCUUUCCAAGAUAUUCCUGAAAGAACCUAAUCAAAUCACUUUGCUUGAAUGGCCUGCUCAAAACUAUAUGGGGGGGGGGGAGGAAGCUAGGUGGUACAGUAGAUAGAGCCCAAGCCCUGAAGUCAGGAGGACCUGGGUUCAAAUCUGAUCUCAGACACUUAACACCUCCUAGGUGUGUGACCCUGAGCAAGUCACUUAACCCCAAUUGUCUCAGCAAAAACAUAUAUAGAUAUAGAUAUAGAUAUAGAUAUAGAUAUAUAAUAUAGAUGUUCCUCUCAUUAAGGAAUUCAGUGCAGUAGCCCUUAUCCAACAUUCUGAACAUGCAUUAUCCUGUUUCAGAAAGGUGGGAUUUGGGAAUAGAAUUUAAAACUUCUUUUGCUGUUUCUUUUAAUUAUAUGUGCCCAAUUUGUCUCCACUAUCUUGAUGCAGUACUUCAUCUGACAUCUAGACUAUUUCAAUAACCUUCAAAUUGCCUCGUUUCUCCUCAUUCUACUCCAUUCUCCACUUAGUCAUUACAUUAACCUGUCUAAAGAAUAGAUAUAACUACAUCAUCUCUCUCCCCAUUCAAUAAACUCCAGUGGCUUCUUAUUACCUCCAGUAUCAAAUAUAAAAUUAUCUGUUCAGCUUUUAAAGCCUUUCAUAAACUGGCCUCUUCCUUUCUUUCCAGUCUUUUUACAUAUUAUACUCUGUCAAAUACAUUGGGAUUUAGUGACUCUGACUUCUUUGAUGGUUCUCACACAAGAUACUCUAUCCUGAUUGCAUUUUUACUGACUAAUGGCUAAUGUUUUUCUUUUAUUGACUAUCUUCCCCUUAUCUUGUAUAUAGUUUGUACAUCAUUCAUGAUGUCUACCUAAUUAAACUGUGAAUUUUGGGAAAAGAGGGACAAUUUGAGGGAGUUGGGGAUGUUGACUUUCUUUGUAGAAGAGUGAGAGAAAGAGAGAGGGACAAAAACAGAAAAACCAGUAAAAAGUAGAAAAUAUAUGGUAGGAAACAGUGACACCCAAGACAGAAGGAAUCCCAUAAGACUUUCUCUAUCUAUAUCUGCGCUAAUCAAUAUUAGGAAUAAUAUGUAAAACUACCAUCUAGGAAAACAUUCAAAGAAAUAAAGUAUUUCUUUUUAUUUUUGUUCUAUGUUAAAGUCAAUAAUCCACUUGAGGUUAAAAAAAAAAAGCAUCAACACACACGCACGCACACACACGGACGAACGUAGACCAGUUCAAGAAAAAGAGCAUUAAAUGCAACCCAAAUGACCCCGGAUUCCUGAAAAUCUGGAUACGUAGGAAUUUCAGACUUUCCCUCUCUGCCUACAAACUCUGUAUGUACCUGCAAUGUGUUGUACAAGAAAUAUCUAACUUAUUUUUAUGCUUUUUCCCCCUUUGGAAAGGGGGUGAGUGUGGAUGAUUAUCACACUUCAUAUUUCUUUCCUAAAUUUCUCUCACCCCUCCUCCCCAAAAAAUAAAAAGUCAGUUUCAUUGUCACGUCUACUUUUUAAUGGAUCUUUCAGCUUAGAAGGGAGAGCUGCGCCGUUCCGCCCACGGCCGUGUAAUGAGUACAUACAAGGGAGUUCAUGUUACACGAUUCCUCCCUCAAGGAUGCCCCCUCUCCCCAGAGUUCAAUUUCUAAAGCCCAGAAUAAGCAACCCGGCUGUACCCCACCCCAUAAUCGUAAGGCAUCUGGUGGGGAGGAGGUGGGGUUGGCAGGGCACAGUCAGGGAAGAACUGAGCAAAAGGCGUCAAAGGGCCGGCGUUGUCCUCUCCCCCAGGGGAGCCGAGGCUGGAAGCGGAGUCUGAGGUACCGGGGUACAAGGGGCGCAAAGUUUCGUUCAAGGUCAAGCCGCCGCCCCCGCGAUUGGAAGCAGGGGCAGGCUUCUUGGCUGGGGGGCACGGGGUGCUCCAGGGCUCUGAGUAUAGCAAGCUAGAGACCACGGCGGGGUGCGGAUCGUAGAGGAUGUGUUCCAGCUCCUGGGGGGCCCGCAUGGCAGCUGGGAACAAAUCGAGAGGCUCGGAGGAUAGUAAGCUCCCAACCUCUCCACCCGCACAGUAAUCGGGACUCAAUAGCUCGAAAAACUCCAUCGCCUCGCAGCCUUUCUCCAGCUCGCGAAAGGUCACGCCAGCCCCCGGCUGGCCGCAUCCACCUGCCCUAGACGGUUCGGUGAAGAAAGACGGGGGUAGAUUGCGAUUCCGGAGAGGGACUUUCUUGCCCCCUCCGGCUCCAGCUAUAACCACAGCUGGACCACCUCCUUCGGCUCCCACGCCGCCGCCGCCGCCGCCGCCUCCUCCGGGCGCCACAGCCAAGGUUCCGGCUCCUCCUUUCUCACCACAGUUCCCUCGAACCUGGUGCAAAGAGUCGAAGAGGGCAGCCAGGCUCUUGCUCUGAAGACUGGCGGCGGCCUGGGAGCCUUCCCGUUUCGGGGGUGCUUUGCCCUGGGGACCCGGGGCUGCGGGAGAGGCAGCAGGCAGUCGCUUCGGGGGCGCUUCGGGAGUCCCAGCCGGGCCAGCAGCUGCGGGGCCGGGGGAUGGAGAGACGGAAGGAGCAGGGCCCGAGGCAGAGGCCGUAGAGGAGGUCAUCAUACCAGUGCAGCGCUUGAUCUGCUUCUGGAGAUAUUUGCGGUGGUUCACCUUCCGCUUGGACUUGACGGGCUUGUCCAGGGCCAGCUUGAUGUUGCUAGACGCCGAAUCGAUGAAGCUCAGCAGGUCUCGAGUGGCUUCCCUGAAAUCUCCGCCGCCUCCCCCUCCGCCGGCUCCCUCAGCGGCCACAACUUCACCAAGCAGGGCGGUCCCAGUCCCCCCGGCCUCAUCCUCCUCGAAGCAACAGCCCUUCUCUAGGUCUCCAAAAUCCAUCCCUAGCGCCCCGGGAGACCCGGGGAAGCAAAAAGGGAUGAAGUGAUGGGGACUGAGGAUAGCUGCCUGUACAGCCAUCUUUGCGGCCGCCUGGCCCCGGUUCCGACUCUCCCCUCCUGGGUCUCAGUAGCCUAGUCGGCGCCUAACUUGGCUUUUCAAUGGGAGCCUUUUGAACCCCAAGCGGUUUGCUCCCUUGGGCGUCCACAGUCACUUUUCCACUCCCCAGACCUCAGAUCAGCUCACGCCCCGUCCAGGAUAGGCUUCGCAAACAGCGGGAUCCCUGUUCCCGUUCCCGAGACUGCCUAGAGCUGCAGACUGGAGCACUCCGUGCGCUCUGAAGCCGGGGCCUUUUCUCU
Molecule: long non-coding RNA, 9214 nt
Organism: Sarcophilus harrisii (Tasmanian devil)
Lineage: Eukaryota; Metazoa; Chordata; Mammalia; Dasyuromorphia; Dasyuridae
Source: Ensembl